GGUUAAGCGACUAAGCGUACACGGUGGAUGCCCUGGCAGUCAGAGGCGAUGAAGGACGUGCUAAUCUGCGAUAAGCGUCGGUAAGGUGAUAUGAACCGUUAUAACCGGCGAUUUCCGAAUGGGGAAACCCAGUGUGAUUCGUCACACUAUCAUUAACUGAAUCCAUAGGUUAAUGAGGCGAACCGGGGGAACUGAAACAUCUAAGUACCCCGAGGAAAAGAAAUCAACCGAGAUUCCCCCAGUAGCGGCGAGCGAACGGGGAGCAGCCCAGAGCCUGAAUCAGUGUGUGUGUUAGUGGAAGCGUCUGGAAAGGCGCGCGAUACAGGGUGACAGCCCCGUACACAAAAAUGCACAUACUGUGAGCUCGAUGAGUAGGGCGGGACACGUGGUAUCCUGUCUGAAUAUGGGGGGACCAUCCUCCAAGGCUAAAUACUCCUGACUGACCGAUAGUGAACCAGUACCGUGAGGGAAAGGCGAAAAGAACCCCGGCGAGGGGAGUGAAAAAGAACCUGAAACCGUGUACGUACAAGCAGUGGGAGCACGCUUAGGCGUGUGACUGCGUACCUUUUGUAUAAUGGGUCAGCGACUUAUAUUCUGUAGCAAGGUUAACCGAAUAGGGGAGCCGAAGGGAAACCGAGUCUUAACUGGGCGUUAAGUUGCAGGGUAUAGACCCGAAACCCGGUGAUCUAGCCAUGGGCAGGUUGAAGGUUGGGUAACACUAACUGGAGGACCGAACCGACUAAUGUUGAAAAAUUAGCGGAUGACUUGUGGCUGGGGGUGAAAGGCCAAUCAAACCGGGAGAUAGCUGGUUCUCCCCGAAAGCUAUUUAGGUAGCGCCUCGUGAAUUCAUCUCCGGGGGUAGAGCACUGUUUCGGCAAGGGGGUCAUCCCGACUUACCAACCCGAUGCAAACUGCGAAUACCGGAGAAUGUUAUCACGGGAGACACACGGCGGGUGCUAACGUCCGUCGUGAAGAGGGAAACAACCCAGACCGCCAGCUAAGGUCCCAAAGUCAUGGUUAAGUGGGAAACGAUGUGGGAAGGCCCAGACAGCCAGGAUGUUGGCUUAGAAGCAGCCAUCAUUUAAAGAAAGCGUAAUAGCUCACUGGUCGAGUCGGCCUGCGCGGAAGAUGUAACGGGGCUAAACCAUGCACCGAAGCUGCGGCAGCGACGCUUAUGCGUUGUUGGGUAGGGGAGCGUUCUGUAAGCCUGCGAAGGUGUGCUGUGAGGCAUGCUGGAGGUAUCAGAAGUGCGAAUGCUGACAUAAGUAACGAUAAAGCGGGUGAAAAGCCCGCUCGCCGGAAGACCAAGGGUUCCUGUCCAACGUUAAUCGGGGCAGGGUGAGUCGACCCCUAAGGCGAGGCCGAAAGGCGUAGUCGAUGGGAAACAGGUUAAUAUUCCUGUACUUGGUGUUACUGCGAAGGGGGGACGGAGAAGGCUAUGUUGGCCGGGCGACGGUUGUCCCGGUUUAAGCGUGUAGGCUGGUUUUCCAGGCAAAUCCGGAAAAUCAAGGCUGAGGCGUGAUGACGAGGCACUACGGUGCUGAAGCAACAAAUGCCCUGCUUCCAGGAAAAGCCUCUAAGCAUCAGGUAACAUCAAAUCGUACCCCAAACCGACACAGGUGGUCAGGUAGAGAAUACCAAGGCGCUUGAGAGAACUCGGGUGAAGGAACUAGGCAAAAUGGUGCCGUAACUUCGGGAGAAGGCACGCUGAUAUGUAGGUGAAGUCCCUCGCGGAUGGAGCUGAAAUCAGUCGAAGAUACCAGCUGGCUGCAACUGUUUAUUAAAAACACAGCACUGUGCAAACACGAAAGUGGACGUAUACGGUGUGACGCCUGCCCGGUGCCGGAAGGUUAAUUGAUGGGGUUAGCGCAAGCGAAGCUCUUGAUCGAAGCCCCGGUAAACGGCGGCCGUAACUAUAACGGUCCUAAGGUAGCGAAAUUCCUUGUCGGGUAAGUUCCGACCUGCACGAAUGGCGUAAUGAUGGCCAGGCUGUCUCCACCCGAGACUCAGUGAAAUUGAACUCGCUGUGAAGAUGCAGUGUACCCGCGGCAAGACGGAAAGACCCCGUGAACCUUUACUAUAGCUUGACACUGAACAUUGAGCCUUGAUGUGUAGGAUAGGUGGGAGGCUUUGAAGUGUGGACGCCAGUCUGCAUGGAGCCGACCUUGAAAUACCACCCUUUAAUGUUUGAUGUUCUAACGUUGACCCGUAAUCCGGGUUGCGGACAGUGUCUGGUGGGUAGUUUGACUGGGGCGGUCUCCUCCUAAAGAGUAACGGAGGAGCACGAAGGUUGGCUAAUCCUGGUCGGACAUCAGGAGGUUAGUGCAAUGGCAUAAGCCAGCUUGACUGCGAGCGUGACGGCGCGAGCAGGUGCGAAAGCAGGUCAUAGUGAUCCGGUGGUUCUGAAUGGAAGGGCCAUCGCUCAACGGAUAAAAGGUACUCCGGGGAUAACAGGCUGAUACCGCCCAAGAGUUCAUAUCGACGGCGGUGUUUGGCACCUCGAUGUCGGCUCAUCACAUCCUGGGGCUGAAGUAGGUCCCAAGGGUAUGGCUGUUCGCCAUUUAAAGUGGUACGCGAGCUGGGUUUAGAACGUCGUGAGACAGUUCGGUCCCUAUCUGCCGUGGGCGCUGGAGAAUUGAGGGGGGCUGCUCCUAGUACGAGAGGACCGGAGUGGACGCAUCACUGGUGUUCGGGUUGUCAUGCCAAUGGCACUGCCCGGUAGCUAAAUGCGGAAGAGAUAAGUGCUGAAAGCAUCUAAGCACGAAACUUGCCCCGAGAUGAGUUCUCCCUGACUCCUUGAGAGUCCUGAAGGAACGUUGAAGACGACGACGUUGAUAGGCCGGGUGUGUAAGCGCAGCGAUGCGUUGAGCUAACCGGUACUAAUGAACCGUGAGGCUUAACCUU
Molecule: ribosomal RNA, 2904 nt
Filed under: Escherichia coli
Lineage: Bacteria; Pseudomonadati; Pseudomonadota; Gammaproteobacteria; Enterobacterales; Enterobacteriaceae
Description: 23S ribosomal RNA
Rfam family: Bacterial large subunit ribosomal RNA
Source: RNAcentral